RNAcentral lists this ribosomal RNA (253 nucleotides) under uncultured bacterium. RNAcentral describes it as "partial 16S ribosomal RNA". It matches the Rfam family "Bacterial small subunit ribosomal RNA", at positions 524 to 776 of the family's 1533-position model. The record is from RNAcentral.
UACAGAGGCCUCGAGCGUUAGGCGGAAUCACUGGGCUUAAAGCGUGUGUAGGCGGACUCCUAAGUGCCUUGUGAAAUCCCACGGCUCACCCGUGGAACUGCUGGGCAUACUGGGAGUCUUGAGCCACCUAGGGGCGAGCGGAACAAAUGGUGGAGCGGUGAAAUGCGUAGAUAUCAUUUGGAACGCCAACGGCGAAAGCAGGCAGCUGGGGAUGCACCGACGCUGAGACACGAAAGCCAGGGGAGCGAACGGG